CCGGUUGAUCCUGCCAGAGGUUACUGCUAUCGAGGUUCGACUAAGCCAUGCGAGUCGAAUGUAGCAAUACAUGGCGUACUGCUCAGUAACACGUGGACAACCUGCCCUUAGGUUGGGUAUAAACCCGGGAAACUGGGUAUAAUCCCCUAUAAGUCUCGGCUGCUGGAAUGCACCGAGAUUAAAAGCUCCGGCGCCUAAGGAUGGGUCUGCGGCCUAUCAGGUAGUAGUGGGUGUAGCGUACCUACUAGCCUACGACGGGUACGGGUUGUGAGAGCAAGAGCCCGGAGAUGGAUUCUGAGACACGAAUCCAGGCCCUACGGGGUGCAGCAGGCGCGAAAACUUUACAAUGCUGGCAACAGCGAUAAGGGAACCUCGAGUGCCAGGUUACAAAUCUGGCUGUCGAGAUGCCUAAAAAGCAUUUCAUAGCAAGGGCCGGGCAAGACCGGUGCCAGCCGCCGCGGUAACACCGGCGGCUCGAGUGGUAACCGUUAUUAUUGGGUCUAAAGGGUCUGUAGCCGGCCGGAUAAGUCUCUUGAGAAAUCUGGCAGCUUAACUGUCAGGCUUUCAGGAGAUACUGUCUGGCUCGAGGCCGGGAGAGGUGAGAGGUACUUCAGGGGUAGGGGUGAAAUCUUGUAAUCCUUGAAGGACCACCAGUGGCGAAGGCGUCUCACCAGAACGGACCUGACGGCAAGGGACGAAAGCUAGGGGCACGAACCGGAUUAGAUACCCGGGUAGUCCUAGCCGUAAACGAUACUCGCUAGGUGUCGGCCACGGUGCGACCGUUGUCGGUGCCGUAGGGAAGCCGUGAAGCGAGCCACCUGGGAAGUACGGCCGCAAGGCUGAAACUUAAAGGAAUUGGCGGGGGAGCACCACAACGGGUGGAGCUUGCGGUUUAAUUGGAUUCAACGCCGGAAAUCUUACCGGGACCGACAGCAAUAUGAAGGCCAGGCUGAAGACUUUGCCGGAUUAGCUGAGAGGUGGUGCAUGGCCGUCGUCAGUUCGUACUGUGAAGCAUCCUGUUAAGUCAGGCAACGAGCGAGACCCA
Molecule: ribosomal RNA, 1045 nt
Filed under: unidentified archaeon
Lineage: Archaea
Description: bacterial SSU rRNA
Rfam family: Archaeal small subunit ribosomal RNA
Source: RNAcentral